RNAcentral lists this ribosomal RNA (382 nucleotides) under uncultured bacterium. RNAcentral describes it as "bacterial SSU rRNA". It matches the Rfam family "Bacterial small subunit ribosomal RNA", at positions 29 to 402 of the family's 1533-position model. The record is from RNAcentral.
AACGAACGCUGGCGGCGCGCCUAAUACAUGCAAGUCGAGCGAGAAGACGUAGCAAUACGUUUGUAAAGCGGCGAACGGGUGAGGAAUACAUGGGUAACCUACCCUCGAGUGGGGAAUAACUAGCCGAAAGGUUAGCUAAUACCGCGUACGCUCCUUGGACUUCGGUUCAGGGAGGAAAGCGAUACCGUGGGUAUCGCGCUCUUGGAUGGGCUCAUGUCCUAUCAGCUUGUUGGUGAGGUAACGGCUCACCAAGGCUUCGACGGGUAGCUGGUCUGAGAGGACGAUCAGCCACACUGGCACUGCGACACGGGCCAGACUCCUACGGGAGCAGCAGUAAGGAAUAUUGCGCAAUGGGCGAAAGCCUGACGCAGCGACGCCGCGU